UGCAAGUCGAGCGCACCUUCGGGUGAGCGGCGGACGGGUUAGUAACGCGUGGGAACAUACCCUUUUCUACGGAAUAGCCUCGGGAAACUGAAAGUAAUCCGGUAUAAGCCCUUCGGGGGAAAGAUUUAUCGGGAAAGGAUUGGCCCGCGUUAGAUUAGAUAGUUGGUGGGGUAAUGGCCUACCAAGUCUACGAUCUAUAGCUGGUUUUAGAGGAUGAUCAGCAACACUGGGACUGAGACACGGCCCAGACUCCUACGGGAGGCAGCAGUGGGGAAUCUUAGACAAUGGGCGCAAGCCUGAUCUAGCCAUGCCGCGUGUGUGAUGAAGGUCUUAGGAUCGUAAAGCACUUUCGCCAGGGAUGAUAAUGACAGUACCUGGUAAAGAAACCCCGGCUAACUCCGUGCCAGCAGCCGCGGUAAUACGGAGGGGGUUAGCGUUGUUCGGAAUUACUGGGCGUAAAGCGUACGUAGGCGGAUUGGAAAGUUGGGGGUGAAAUC
This 497-nucleotide ribosomal RNA is filed under the name Sulfitobacter sp. Ar-88. RNAcentral's name for it is "bacterial SSU rRNA". It matches the Rfam family "Bacterial small subunit ribosomal RNA", at positions 56 to 601 of the family's 1533-position model. Lineage: Bacteria; Pseudomonadati; Pseudomonadota; Alphaproteobacteria; Rhodobacterales; Roseobacteraceae. The record is from RNAcentral.